AAAGGGGUGGCUGCUGAGAGCAGGCAGAACAGGAACUCGGGACCUCGGGCCUAACCACAGUGCAGGGCUGCAGAGGUUGGGUCAGAGACCAUGGCAUUUGGCAGUUGGGCCACAGCAUUCCAUGGUAGGGGUGGAAGGUCAGCUCUGGCCAGUGAGCUCCAGGGAGAAGGAGACCAAACCAUUCCAACUCCUGGGGACCCUGGAAAGAUAAAGCUACACAAAGGUGACCCUACCAGCCACUGGCCACAUCCUGCCUCUGAAAACUAAGACUGUUGAGCCAUCGUCCUAGCCUCACCUCUCCUGACUUCUUCAGCUCACGCCUGGUUCUGCUCCUCCCCACCUCCUCCUGGAAGCCUUCCCUGAUGUAUCCAGCCUGGACUCAUGGCCCCUGCACUGUCCUGUCUCCUCCACACCUGUGCAUGUGGACAGCUCCCCUACCUGGUCAUCGCUGUGCACACAGCCUGGUACAGAGCCUUGGCUGGCCUCACGAAGUGUGUGAAUGAAUAAAUGAACGAAAGCAUUUCUAGCCAUCACCUCCCCUCCAGCACUGCCCCUGUCAGCCUUACUGGUUACCACUGCCACUGCCUCUUGAGGGGCCUCAGCUCCCAUCCUCAAACUCAACCCCACGUGGGUCUGCCCACACCCUGAGGCUUUCCAUGCAAGACAGAGUAGCAACCCCUUCAAAGCUGGCCGCUGCUGUGACUUUUUCUGGGUCCCCCAGCAUCUCCAGUGCCUUAGAGUCCUUGUCCUCACCAAAGCAUCCAAGGAAAUGUUGGUGAUUUUUCCUGGAGGCCUCUCCCACCCAGACUGGCAUUUCCACCCCCUCCUGGGUGCUCUGCUGGCACUUCUUCAGUAGAUGUUUUCGUUUUUGUUUUCUCUCUAGACAAAGUCUCGUGUAGCCCAGGCUAGCCGCCAAUUCAUUAUAUAGUCAAGGAUGCCUGUGCUGUCAACUUGACACAAGCCAUUCAUCUGGGAUCAGGGAGCCUCCGCUGAGGAAAUGGCUCUGUCAAGUUGUCCAUAGGCAAGUCUGGGGGCAUUUUCUUGGUUAAUGACUAAUGUGGGAGAACCCAGCCCACCAUGAGUGGCACUGACCCUGGAGAGGCUGUCCUGCGUUAUAUAAAGAGAAGCCAGUAAGCAGAGCCCUUCCAGGACUCUUCAUUGUGUUCCUGCCUCCAGGUUCCUGCUUUGGGUGCCUGCCCUGACUUCCUUCAUGAUGGACUGUAACCUGGAAGGUGAAAUAAAACCUUUCCUACGCAA
This is a non-coding RNA of Peromyscus maniculatus bairdii (prairie deer mouse), 1257 nucleotides long. The record is from RefSeq and is a predicted model, not a curated record. NCBI's taxonomy places the organism in Eukaryota, Metazoa, Chordata, Mammalia, Rodentia, Cricetidae.